This 142-nucleotide small nucleolar RNA is filed under the name Nelumbo nucifera (sacred lotus). RNAcentral's name for it is "small nucleolar RNA snoR135". It matches the Rfam family "small nucleolar RNA snoR135". Lineage: Eukaryota; Viridiplantae; Streptophyta; Magnoliopsida; Proteales; Nelumbonaceae. The record is from Rfam by way of RNAcentral.
AAAGCAGGGGUUGUGUGUAUCGGUGUUGUGCCUUUGAAUGCACUUAUUGCCGAAAGAGUCCCCUGCAACAUUGAGUUGGGGAAAAUGGGCAGUUGUGUAUUGUCCUUCUGUUGAUACUUCAACAAUCAUUUUCCCCAUAUCU